CAAAUGAAGGAGCACUCUGACGCAGCCAUGCCGCGUGCAGGAGAGGCGCUACGCGUUGUAAACUGCUUUUAUCCGGGAAAAAACCCCAGGACGUGUCCUGGGUUGACGGUACCGGAGGAAUAAGCACCGGCCAACUUCAUGCCAGCAGCCGCGGUAAAAGCCUA
This 164-nucleotide ribosomal RNA is filed under the name uncultured bacterium. RNAcentral's name for it is "partial 16S ribosomal RNA". It matches the Rfam family "Bacterial small subunit ribosomal RNA", at positions 368 to 528 of the family's 1533-position model. The record is from RNAcentral.